CCAAGCCUAUCUCCUAUCUAGUCUCUACCAUUUGUUUCUCUCUGUCUCUUUCUCUUGCAGACACAUGGUAUUUCUUCUUCCUCUCUCUCUAACCCCAUUUGCUCUCCCUAUCACAACACCAUAAUCCAGGGCCGGGCAGAGCAAAGCAGCCACAGCAGUCAUGUCCUUAGCAAUCCAUAAUACAGCAUGUUUGCUGACAAAAUGAAUGUGGAGUACAGUUAGGCAACAGGAAAUUAACAGCUGACCCCAGAGGUCAGGAAAGAGGGUGUACAAAAACUGAAAUGUGCUUCUGCUUCCCCAUGCCACAAAGGCUGAAUGGGGAGACUAGACCUCCUCCUGACUAGGCAGUAACGAGGGGUCCCAACAUCCCCAGCUGGGUGGUAACAGAGAAGGCCAAGUAGGAGCCAGGACUUGCAUCCCAGCCAUUACAGGUGCUCUCCCUGACCUUGCAGUGUUAGUGGAGACCACGUGGGGAGCUGAAACUUGCACCCUGUCCAACAGUAACAGGGAAUCCCCCUCUUAAGU
Molecule: long non-coding RNA, 525 nt
Filed under: Homo sapiens (human)
Lineage: Eukaryota; Metazoa; Chordata; Mammalia; Primates; Hominidae
Description: non-protein coding lnc-MFAP4-5:1
Source: RNAcentral